This 374-nucleotide ribosomal RNA is filed under the name uncultured organism. Its description in RNAcentral is "bacterial SSU rRNA". It matches the Rfam family "Bacterial small subunit ribosomal RNA", at positions 526 to 896 of the family's 1533-position model. The record is from RNAcentral.
CGGGGGGAGCAAGCGUUGUUCGGAUUUACUGGGCGUAAAGGGCGCGUAGGCGGCCACCGCAAGUCGACUGUGAAAUCUCCGGGCUUAACUCGGAAAGGUCAGCCGAUACUGCGGGGCUAGAGUGCAGAAGGGGCAACUGGAAUUCUCGGUGUAGCGGUGAAAUGCGUAGAUAUCGAGAGGAACACCUGCGGCGAAGGCGGGUUGCUGGGCUGACACUGACGCUGAGGCGCGAAAGCUAGGGGAGCGAACGGGAUUAGAUACCCCGGUAGUCCUAGCCUUAAACGAUGAAUGCUUGGUGUCUGGGGUUUUAUAGUCCCCGGUGCCGUCGCUAACGCUUUAAGCCAUUCCGCCUGGGGAGUACGGUCGCAAGACUG